GAUGAACGCUGGCGGCGUGCCUAAUACAUGCAAGUCGAGCGAACGGACGAGAAGCUUGCUUCUCUGAUGUUAGCGGCGGACGGGUGAGUAACACGUGGAUAACCUACCUAUAAGACUGGGAUAACUUCGGGAAACCGGAGCUAAUACCGGAUAAUAUUUUGAACCGCAUGGUUCAAAAGUGGAAGACGGUCUUGCUGUCACUUAUAGAUGGAUCCGCGCUGCAUUAGCUAGUUGGUAAGGUAACGGCUUACCAAGGCAACGAUGCAUAGCCGACCUGAGAGGGUGAUCGGCCACACUGGAACUGAGACACGGUCCAGACUCCUACGGGAGGCAGCAGUAGGGAAUCUUCCGCAAUGGGCGAAAGCCUGACGGAGCAACGCCGCGUGAGUGAUGAAGGUCUUCGGAUCGUAAAACUCUGUUAUUAGGGAAGAACAUAUGUGUAAGUAACUGUGCACAUCUUGACGGUACCUAAUCAGAAAGCAACGGCUAACUACGUG
RNAcentral lists this ribosomal RNA (497 nucleotides) under uncultured bacterium. RNAcentral describes it as "partial 16S ribosomal RNA". It matches the Rfam family "Bacterial small subunit ribosomal RNA", at positions 28 to 507 of the family's 1533-position model. The record is from RNAcentral.